CCCGCUGAACUUAAGCAUAUCAAUAAGCGGAGGAAAAGAAACUAACAAGGAUUCCCCUAGUAACUGCGAGUGAAGCGGGAAAAGCUCAAAUUUGAAAUCUGGCGGCCCCGCCGUCCGAGUUGUAUUCCGGAGAAGCGUUUUCCGUGCCGGACCGUGUACAAGUGCCUUGGAACAGGACGUCAUAGAGGGUGAGAAUCCCGUCUUUGACACGGACCCCCGGUGCUAUGCGAUGCGCUCUCGAAGAGUCGAGUUGUUUGGGAAUGCAGCUCAAAACGGGUGGUAAAUUCCAUCUAAAGCUAAAUAUUGGCGAGAGACCGAUAGCGAACAAGUACCGUGAGGGAAAGGUGAAAAGCACUUUGGAAAGAGAGUAAAACAGUACGUGAAAUUGUUGAAAGGGAAACGCUUGAAGUCAGUCGCGUCUGCCGGAACUCAGCCUUGCUUCUGCUUGGUGCACUUUCCGGCUUGACGGGCCAGCAUCGGUUUCGAGCGGCGGACACUGGCGAGGGGAAGGUGGCAGCUCCGGCUGUGUUAUAGCCCCUCGUCGCAAACGCCGCCCGGGACCGAGGAAUCCGGCGCAAGCCUGGGAUGCUGGCGUAAUGGCUUUAAACGACCCGUCUUGAAACACGG
Molecule: ribosomal RNA, 627 nt
Filed under: uncultured fungus
Lineage: Eukaryota; Fungi
Description: eukaryotic LSU rRNA
Rfam family: Eukaryotic large subunit ribosomal RNA
Source: RNAcentral